AGCUGAUGUACCGUUAAAAUGAAGGUGGUAAUAAAGUUUACAAAACUUGCUCUGGCUGAAUUUUUCAAUGAAAAAACAAUAUGUGUGCCAUGAAUGUAAUCUGUUUUUCAUGGCGUAUCAAUGAAAGUUUGGUGUAUUGGCCAAAUCAAUUGCAAGCAUCUUGCCUUCAAGCUGCCAAACAUAAAGUCACGCUUUUAAAAGUAACUGAAAGCAGCUGAAAAUAAGAAUUUUUUGAUGAACUUUCUUACUUCAGUUGGAGGAGAUGAGAAACAACUUACAGCGACAAUCUUAAUACAGUUAAUGGCCAAAGAAGUAUGUUUUUCAUACUCAGUGUAUGGAAGGAACCAAAAACGUCCUGCAAGGUCGUUAUAGAUUUGCGUUUAGUCAUUUAUCGUUGUAUUCGUUUCUUUCGAAAUUGCUACUGAUAAAAGUAUUAAAGAAAAAAUUGGCAGCUUUCUGGCGACGGCCCAUAAUAGAGAUUACGGAAGAAAAAUAGAACCGUAACUGAGCAACGCCCAGUAUUGAGCAAUGAAAUAAGUAUCGCCAAAAUAAUGAAAGUCGAUGCCCACUAUCUCAUAGUGAGAGUA
Molecule: long non-coding RNA, 587 nt
Organism: Hydra vulgaris (swiftwater hydra)
Lineage: Eukaryota; Metazoa; Cnidaria; Hydrozoa; Anthoathecata; Hydridae
Source: RefSeq, a predicted model, not a curated record